RNAcentral lists this ribosomal RNA (426 nucleotides) under uncultured bacterium. RNAcentral's name for it is "bacterial SSU rRNA". It matches the Rfam family "Bacterial small subunit ribosomal RNA", at positions 356 to 774 of the family's 1533-position model. The record is from RNAcentral.
AGGGAAUAUUGGACAAUGGGGGCAACCCUGAUCCAGCCAUGCCGCGUGAGUGAAGAAGGCCCUCGGGUUGUAAAGCUCUUUUGUCCGGAAAGAAAAGCAUUCGGUGAAUACCCGGAUGUUCUGACGGUACCGGAAGAAUAAGCACCGGCUAACUUCGUGCCAGCAGCCGCGGUAAUACGAAGGGUGCAAGCGUUACUCGGAAUUACUGGGCGUAAAGGAUGCGUAGGCGGAUACUUAAGUCAGAUGUGAAAAUCCCGGGCUUAACUUGGGAACUGCAUUUGAAACUGGGUAUCUAGAGUGCGGGAGAGGAAAGUGGAAUUCCUAGUGUAGCGGUGAAAUGCGUAGAGCUUAGGAAGAACACCAGUGGCGAAGGCGACUUUCUGGACCGUAACUGACGCUGAGGCAUGAAAGCGUGGGGAGCAAACA